This 253-nucleotide ribosomal RNA is filed under the name uncultured bacterium. RNAcentral describes it as "partial 16S ribosomal RNA". It matches the Rfam family "Bacterial small subunit ribosomal RNA", at positions 524 to 776 of the family's 1533-position model. The record is from RNAcentral.
UACGUAGGUGGCAAGCGUUGUCCGGAUUUACUGGGCGUAAAGAGCGCGCAGGCGGUCGUGCAAGUCGCGUGUGAAAUCCCUCGGCUUAACCGAGGAACUGCCUGUCAAACUGCAUGGCUUGAGACCAGGAGAGGUGAGUGGAAUUCCCAGUGUAGCGGUGAAAUGCGUAGAUAUUGGGAGGAACACCAGUGGCGAAGGCGGCUCACUGGACUGGUACUGACGCUGAUGCGCGAAAGCGUGGGGAGCAAACAGG